AUUGAACGCUGGCGGCAGGCCUAACACAUGCAAGUCGAGCGGAUGAAGGGAGCUUGCUCCUGGAUUCAGCGGCGGACGGGUGAGUAAUGCCUAGGAAUCUGCCUGGUAGUGGGGGAUAACGUCCGGAAACGGGCGCUAAUACCGCAUACGUCCUGAGGGAGAAAGAGGGGGAUCUUCGGACCUCACGCUAUCAGAUGAGCCUAGGUCGGAUUAGCUAGUUGGUGGGGUAAAGGCCUACCAAGGCGACGAUCCGUAACUGGUCUGAGAGGAUGAUCAGUCACACUGGAACUGAGACACGGUCCAGACUCCUACGGGAGGCAGCAGUGGGGAAUAUUGGACAAUGGGCGAAAGCCUGAUCCAGCCAUGCCGCGUGUGAAGAAGGUCUUCGGAUUGUAAAGCACUUUAAGUUGGGAGGAAGGGCAGUAAGUUAAUACCUUGCUGUUUUGACGUUACCAACAGAAUAAGCACCGGCUAACUUCGUG
This 482-nucleotide ribosomal RNA is filed under the name uncultured bacterium. RNAcentral's name for it is "partial 16S ribosomal RNA". It matches the Rfam family "Bacterial small subunit ribosomal RNA", at positions 30 to 507 of the family's 1533-position model. The record is from RNAcentral.